This is a small nuclear RNA of Argiope bruennichi, 106 nucleotides long. The record is from RefSeq and is a predicted model, not a curated record. NCBI's taxonomy places the organism in Eukaryota, Metazoa, Arthropoda, Arachnida, Araneae, Araneidae.
GAACUCUCUUCAGCAGUACAUGUACUAAAAUUGAUAGGAUAAGAGAAGAUUAGCAUGGCCUCUGCGCAAGGAUGAUAUGCGAAAUCGUGAAGCGUUUCGCAUUUUU